Cyprinus carpio (common carp) is the source of this 508-nucleotide long non-coding RNA. RefSeq lists it as uncharacterized. The record is from RefSeq and is a predicted model, not a curated record. The transcript is spliced from 3 exons. Lineage: Eukaryota; Metazoa; Chordata; Actinopteri; Cypriniformes; Cyprinidae.
UUCUGUUUCUAUGUGCUGCUGUGACGUGAAGUGAAGCUGUUCAAACAAUUGUGUAAGUGUUAACACCGAUACAGCAAGAGAAAACGGAAUAUAAAAAACUUAACAGAUGUGACACAUCAUUUAACUAAUUAAAUAUAUAACACUUAAUAACUGUUAACUAAUGUUUACAAAUGGAGCUGUUUUGUAAAGUGGUACAAGGUAUACUGUAUUGGUAUACUAUUAAGUGAUUAUUAGAAGCACAUGAAGAAUCACACAGUAUCUUCUCAGUGUUUCUGACAUGUUCAUCUGUUCAUUUACUUAUAAUCUCAUUUUUGUUUCUGUGUGCUGCUGUGACAUGAAGCGGAGAUCUCUGAAAAAAAGGAAUCACCCAAGAUCAAUGAAAAAGAACUGGUGAAGAUUUCUGAAAAACUAAUGAAGAUGUGUAAGUAUAAGAAUCAGAAUGAGCUUUACUGCCAGGUAUGUUUAAACAUACAAGGAAUUUGUUUUAGUGACAAAGCUCUACAUUGAC